AGAGCGAACGUUAGCGGCGGGCCUAACACAUGCAAGUCGAACGAGAAGUGGGGGGCAACUCCCCUAGUAAAGUGGCGGACGGGUGCGUAACACGUAGGUAAUUUACCUUCCGGCGGGGACAACAGCCCGAAAGGGCUGCUAAUACCGCAUACGUCGGCGAGGUCUCCGGACCUUGUCGGGAAAGAUGGCCUCUCCUUGGAAGCUGUCACCGGAAGAUGAACCUGCGGCCCAUCAGCUAGUUGGUGAGGUAACGGCUCACCAAGGCUAAGACGGGUAGCUGGUCUGAGAGGAUGAUCAGCCACACUGGGACUGCGACACCGGCCCAG
This 326-nucleotide ribosomal RNA is filed under the name uncultured soil bacterium. Its description in RNAcentral is "bacterial SSU rRNA". It matches the Rfam family "Bacterial small subunit ribosomal RNA", at positions 26 to 334 of the family's 1533-position model. The record is from RNAcentral.